UGGCCACGUGCUCUCUGUCACCCCAGUGCCCUGGACCUCAGUAUGCAGAGAAGCAGCCAUGACAAGCACAGAAAUAUAAGCACUGAUGCCUCCUGUGGAAGCCCCCAGUGCUCCUGCAGCCCUCGUGUUAAUUUAAGGAGUUAACUAACAAUCUGGCAUCAUUGCUGGAAACUGAAGAAGCUGGGAGGAGGCUAAGCAAAACCCUUGCUUAAUUAAAAGCAUAUCUGCAAAAGGUCAGGCCUGGCAGGAGGAUGACAAAGGCAGUCGGAAUUUUAAAAUCAAGUCAUUCUCUCCUGCGAGAUUCCUUCCAGACUGUGAUGGAUUCGGGAUGCUGAGUUUUCUCUUCCAACGGAGCCUGCACAGCUGAGUCGGGGCUUUUAGGAGAUUGAUGACCUAUGACAAAGCCAGGGCAGCACUCGGUGACUUUCUGCUGGUUCUGAAGAAUCCAAAUGAAAGUUCUACCCUGAACCUGCUCUGCAAAGGGGACCCACAUGAGGAAGAGGCUAGAAGGUCACUUGGAAAGGGUCCUGACCCACCCACCAUGACAAGCAAUUAUUUUUCUGGACAGCUUCCUGAUGUCCCCAAGGAGACAGAGAGCGUGGCAGCCAGUGAGGGAAAGCAUGCCACAGGUCCCUCCUGCUAACCUGGCAGGAGGGUGCUCGCGACACCUAAUUUGUCAAUGCUUGUUUUCCCUGCUGGAGCCGAGUACACAGGAUCGCUCCGCCAACGGAGAAGGAGAAAGGGGAAGCCAUUCUUCGCCUUUUUCAGCAAUGUAUUUUUGUUUUGGUCAAUUUCCCAAAUAAAUUAUGGUCUUGUCUCAUUGCCA
Callithrix jacchus (white-tufted-ear marmoset) is the source of this 826-nucleotide long non-coding RNA. RefSeq lists it as uncharacterized. The record is from RefSeq and is a predicted model, not a curated record. Lineage: Eukaryota; Metazoa; Chordata; Mammalia; Primates; Cebidae.